CACGUAGGGGGCGAGCGUUGUCCGGAUUUAUUGGGCGUAAAGAGCUCGUAGGCGGCUCAGUAAGUCAGGUGUGAAAACUCCAGGCUCAACCUGGAGACGCCACCUGAUACUGCUGUGGCUAGAGUCCGGUAGGGGAGCAUGGAAUUCCUGGUGUAGCGGUGAAAUGCGCAGAUAUCAGGGAGGAACACCAGUGGCGAAAGGCGGUGCUCUGGGCCGGAACUGACGCUGGAGACGCGAAAGCGUGGGGAGCAAACAGG
RNAcentral lists this ribosomal RNA (257 nucleotides) under uncultured bacterium. RNAcentral describes it as "partial 16S ribosomal RNA". It matches the Rfam family "Bacterial small subunit ribosomal RNA", at positions 524 to 776 of the family's 1533-position model. The record is from RNAcentral.